Molecule: non-coding RNA, 45 nt
Organism: Schistosoma mattheei
Lineage: Eukaryota; Metazoa; Platyhelminthes; Trematoda; Strigeidida; Schistosomatidae
Source: Rfam
AUCCAGCUGACGAGUCCAAAAUAGGACGAAGCGUGAGUCCUGUUU